AACGAACGCUGGCGGCAUGCCUAACACAUGCAAGUCGAACGAGACCUUCGGGUCUAGUGGCGCACGGGUGCGUAACGCGUGGGAACCUGCCCUUAGGUUCGGAAUAACUCCCCGAAAGGGGUGCUAAUACCGGAUAAUGUCUUCGGACCAAAGAUUUAUCGCCUUUGGAUGGGCCCGCGUUGGAUUAGCUAGUUGGUAGGGUAAAAGCCUACCAAGGCGACGAUCCAUAGCUGGUCUGAGAGGAUGAUCAGCCACACUGGGACUGAGACACGGCCCAGACUCCUCCGGGAGGCGGCAGUGGGGAAUUGUGGAAAGUGGGGGAAGGCAUGAUCCACAAAUGCUGGGGGAGGGAUGAGGGUCUGGGGGUAGAAAGGCUUUUUUACCGGGGAAGAUCAUGAGAGUACCGGAAGAAAAGGCCCCGGCUAACUCCGUG
This 433-nucleotide ribosomal RNA is filed under the name uncultured bacterium. Its description in RNAcentral is "partial 16S ribosomal RNA". It matches the Rfam family "Bacterial small subunit ribosomal RNA", at positions 29 to 507 of the family's 1533-position model. The record is from RNAcentral.